This 490-nucleotide ribosomal RNA is filed under the name uncultured bacterium. Its description in RNAcentral is "bacterial SSU rRNA". It matches the Rfam family "Bacterial small subunit ribosomal RNA", at positions 28 to 501 of the family's 1533-position model. The record is from RNAcentral.
GACGAACGCUGGCGGCAGGCCUAACACAUGCAAGUCGAGCGGCAGCGCGUCCGACCACCCUCGGGUGGUCGGAUGGCGGCGAGCGGCGGACGGGUGAGGAAUGCAUCGGAAUCUGCCUCGUUGUGGGGGAUAACGUAGGGAAACUUAUGCUAAUACCGCAUACGACCUACGGGUGAAAGUGGGGGACCUUCGGGCCUCACGCGAUGAGAUGAGCCUGCGUAGGAUUAGCUUGUUGGUGAGGUAAAGGCUCACCAAGGCGACGAUCCUUAGCUGGUCUGAGAGGAUGAUCAGCCACACUGGAACUGAGACACGGUCCAGACUCCUACGGGAGGCAGCAGUGGGGAAUAUUGCGCAAUGGGCGAAAGCCUGACGCAGCCAUGCCGCGUGUGUGAAGAAGGCCCUUGGGUUGUAAAGCACUUUCAAUUGGAGAAAGGUUGCGUGUUAAUAGCACGUAGCUGUGACGUUACCUUUAGAAGAAGCACCGGCUAAC